UACGAAGGGUGCAAGCGUUACUCGGAAUUACUGGGCGUAAAGCGUGCGUAGGUGGUUCGUUAAGUCUGAUGUGAAAGCCCUGGGCUCAACCUGGGAAUUGCAUUGGAUACUGGCGAGCUAGAGUGCGGUAGAGGAUGGCGGAAUUCCCGGUGUAGCAGUGAAAUGCGUAGAGAUCGGAAGGAACAUCUGUGGCGAAGGCGGCCAUCUGGACCAGCACUGACAAUGAGGCACGAAAGCGUGGGGAGCAAACAGG
RNAcentral lists this ribosomal RNA (253 nucleotides) under uncultured bacterium. RNAcentral describes it as "partial 16S ribosomal RNA". It matches the Rfam family "Bacterial small subunit ribosomal RNA", at positions 524 to 776 of the family's 1533-position model. The record is from RNAcentral.